UACGGAGGGUGCGAGCGUUAAUCGGAAUUACUGGGCGUAAAGCGCGCGUAGGCGGUUUGCUCAGUCUGAUGUGAAAGCCCUGGGCUUAACCUGGGAACUGCAUUGGAUACUGGCAGGCUCGAGUGUGGUAGAGGGGUGUGGAAUUUCCGGUGUAGCAGUGAAAUGCGUAGAGAUCGGAAGGAACACCAGUGGCGAAGGCGGCACCCUGGACCAACACUGACGCUGAGGUGCGAAAGCGUGGGGAGCAAAC
RNAcentral lists this ribosomal RNA (250 nucleotides) under uncultured bacterium. RNAcentral describes it as "partial 16S ribosomal RNA". It matches the Rfam family "Bacterial small subunit ribosomal RNA", at positions 524 to 773 of the family's 1533-position model. The record is from RNAcentral.